RNAcentral lists this transfer RNA (77 nucleotides) under Candidatus Aenigmatarchaeota archaeon. RNAcentral's name for it is "tRNA-Phe". It matches the Rfam family "tRNA". From Rfam's summary of the family: Transfer RNA (tRNA) molecules are approximately 80 nucleotides in length. Their secondary structure includes four short double-helical elements and three loops (D, anti-codon, and T loops). Further hydrogen bonds mediate the characteristic L-shaped molecular structure. tRNAs have two regions of fundamental functional importance: the anti-codon, which is responsible for specific mRNA codon recognition, and the 3' end, to which the tRNAs corresponding amino acid is attached (by aminoacyl-tRNA synthetases). tRNAs cope with the degeneracy of the genetic code in two manners: having more than one tRNA (with a specific anti-codon) for a particular amino acid; and 'wobble' base-pairing, i.e. permitting non-standard base-pairing at the 3rd anti-codon position. Lineage: Archaea; Nanobdellati; Candidatus Aenigmatarchaeota. The record is from RNAcentral.
GGGGCAGUAAAAGCUCAGCCUGGGAGAGCAACCGGCUGAAGACCGGUAUGUCGGGUGUUCAAACCACCCCUGCCCCA